Molecule: ribosomal RNA, 402 nt
Filed under: Verrucomicrobiota bacterium
Lineage: Bacteria; Pseudomonadati; Verrucomicrobiota
Description: Verrucomicrobia bacterium partial 16S ribosomal RNA
Rfam family: Bacterial small subunit ribosomal RNA
Source: RNAcentral
UGGGGAAUUUUGCACAAUGGGGGAAACCCUGAUGCAGCGACGCCGCGUGAUUUAGAAGGCCUUCGGGUUGUAAAAAUCUUUUGUAUGGGAAGAAAAUGACAGUACCAUACGAAUAAGGACCGGCUAAUUACGUGCCAGCAGCCGCGGUAAUACGUAAGGUCCGAGCGUUGUCCGGAAUCAUUGGGCGUAAAGGGUACGUAGGCGGAUAAGCAAGUUAGAAGUGAAAUCCUAUAGCUCAACUAUAGUAAGCUUUUAAAACUGCUCAUCUUGAGGUAUGGAAUGGAAAGUGGAAUUCCUAGUGUAGCGGUGAAAUGCGCAGAUAUUAGGAGGAAUACCGGUGGCGAAGGCGACUUUCUGGCCAUAUACUGACGCUGAGGUACGAAAGCGUGGGUAGCAACCAGG